Molecule: ribosomal RNA, 320 nt
Filed under: uncultured Pseudomonadota bacterium
Lineage: Bacteria; Pseudomonadati; Pseudomonadota
Description: bacterial SSU rRNA
Rfam family: Bacterial small subunit ribosomal RNA
Source: RNAcentral
AUUGAACGCUGGCGGCAUGCUUUACACAUGCAAGUCGAACGGCAGCACGGGGGCAACCCUGGUGGCGAGUGGCGAACGGGUGAGUAAUACAUCGGAACGUACCCAGUUGUGGGGGAUAACCUACCGAAAGGUAGGCUAAUACCGCAUGAGCUCGAGAGAGGAAAGCGGGGGACCGUAAGGCCUCGCGCGACUGGAGCGGCCGAUGUCCGAUUAGCUAGUUGGUGGGGUAAAGCUCACCAAGCCAACGAUCUGUAGCUGGUCUGAGAGGACGACCAGCCACACUGGGACUGAGACACGGCCCAGACUCCUACGGGUGGCAG